AAGUCGUAACAAGGUUUCCGUAGGUGAACCUGCGGAAGGAUCAUUACAAAUCCAAAGUCACCCCCUUCACUGGUCGUUGACAACGUUGAACCCUCCCGUGCGGACCGCUGGCCUGGCCCUCCCGGGCCCAGCCAGCGGGCCACACACUCUAUGUGACACACUUGCUGACAUGAACGACCACGAAUGUACCAACAACAACAACCUAGAAACAACUUAUAACAAUGGAUCUCUAGGCUCUU
This 239-nucleotide unclassified non-coding RNA is filed under the name fungal sp. RNAcentral's name for it is "partial internal transcribed spacer region". The stretch from base 1 to 46 matches the Rfam family "Eukaryotic small subunit ribosomal RNA", at positions 1786 to 1831 of the family's 1831-position model. The record is from RNAcentral. Lineage: Eukaryota; Fungi.